CCUACGGGAGGCAGCAGUAGGGAAUAUUGCACAAUGGACGAAAGUCUGAUGCAGCCACGCCGCGUGAAUGAAGAAGGCUUUCGGUACGUAAACCUCUAUUUGUAGGGGAGAAAAGUAGAGUACGUAACUUGCCUUUCUUUGACGGUAACUAUUUAGAACGUCUCGGCGAACUACGUGACAGCAGCUGCUGUGAUACGUAGGUGGGAAGCGUUGGCCGGAUUUAUUGGGCGGUAAGGGAGUGAAGGCGGUUCAAGAAGUCUGAUGUGAAAGCUUUCGGCUCAACCGGAGAAUUGCAUUUGAAACUGGUUAACUGGAGUGCAGAAGAGGAGAGUGGAAUUCCUGGUGUAGCGGUGGAAUGCGUAGAUAUAUGGAAGAACACCAGUGGCGAAGGCGGCUUACUGGACUGCAACUGACGCUGAGGCUCGAAAGCGUGGGUAGCAAACAGGAUUAGAUACCCUUGUAGUC
RNAcentral lists this ribosomal RNA (465 nucleotides) under uncultured bacterium. Its description in RNAcentral is "partial 16S ribosomal RNA". It matches the Rfam family "Bacterial small subunit ribosomal RNA", at positions 338 to 795 of the family's 1533-position model. The record is from RNAcentral.